AAAUCAUGCUGGGGGCAUAGCUUGAGCAUCCCUUUAAGCCUAUCCCAAGCUUCAUAGAAAGAUUCAGUCUCAUUCUAUCAAAAGUUGGCAAUCAAAUUCCUCAUGU
Zingiber officinale is the source of this 106-nucleotide small nucleolar RNA. NCBI's taxonomy places the organism in Eukaryota, Viridiplantae, Streptophyta, Magnoliopsida, Zingiberales, Zingiberaceae. The record is from RefSeq and is a predicted model, not a curated record.